RNAcentral lists this ribosomal RNA (447 nucleotides) under uncultured bacterium. Its description in RNAcentral is "bacterial SSU rRNA". It matches the Rfam family "Bacterial small subunit ribosomal RNA", at positions 331 to 792 of the family's 1533-position model. The record is from RNAcentral.
CCAGGCUCCUACGGGAGGCAGCAGUGGGGAAUAUUGGGCAAUGGGCGCAAGCCUGACCCAGCAACGCCGCGUGAAGGAAGAAGGCUUUCGGGUUGUAAACUUCUUUUGUCAGGGACGAAGCAAGUGACGGUACCUGACGAAUAAGCCACGGCUAACUACGUGCCAGCAGCCGCGGUAAUACGUAGGCGGCAAGCGUUAUCCGGAUUUACUGGGUGUAAAGGGCGUGUAGGCGGGACUGCAAGUCAGAUGUGAAAACCACGGGCUCAACCUGUGGCCUGCAUUUGAAACUGUAGUUCUUGAGUACUGGAGAGGCAGACGGAAUUCCUAGUGUAGCGGUGAAAUGCGUAGAUAUUAGGAGGAACACCAGUGGCGAAGGCGGUCUGCUGGACAGCAACUGACGCUGAGGCGCGAAAGCGUGGGGAGCAAACAGGAUUAGAUACCCGAGUA